This is a non-coding RNA of Acanthoscelides obtectus, 74 nucleotides long. Lineage: Eukaryota; Metazoa; Arthropoda; Insecta; Coleoptera; Chrysomelidae. The record is from the annotation of a GenBank genome assembly.
AUAUUGGUUGCUCGGUGGUUAGCGCUUCGGGCUAGCAACCCGCGGCUCACGGGUUCGAAUCUCCGCCUCGGAGU